Molecule: long non-coding RNA, 2532 nt
Organism: Oncorhynchus nerka (sockeye salmon)
Lineage: Eukaryota; Metazoa; Chordata; Actinopteri; Salmoniformes; Salmonidae
Exons: 3
Source: RefSeq, a predicted model, not a curated record
GGAGUCUCCUAGGGCGGCGCACAAUUGGCCCAGUGUCGUUAGGGUUUGGCUCGGGUAGGCCGUCAUUGUAAAUAAGAAUUUGUUCUUGACUGAGUUGCCAACUCUCUAGUUUGACCACCAGGGGGCAUCUUUGAGAAGCAUUUGAUAGAAUUCCUUAUUGGCAUUACCAGAGAAUUUAAAAUAUUUUUUGUAAUAACAUAGUAUAUUGGAUUGAUUUUAAGACAUUUAGCUAAAUGAAUUUGAUUAAUAUUAUGGUGUUUCCAGUCAGAGAAAAAUUGUCAGUUUGUAAAUUCAGACCGUUUAGCUCUCGGAGCGCACACUGGACGUUCGGACCGAGGAGUAGGGUUGAUUUGAGCGUUUUGGCCUUACAACGGCAGUCAAGCACCCAAGCUAGCGUUGGCUAGCUACUCCCAGACACAAUUGAGACCACUCUGACCAUUUUACUCGCCCUAGUAGAGCUGGUAAGGAAGUUUUCGUGUUAACCAGAGCGUUGGUGACUGUAAAUGUGCUGCUGGAAACAAUUUAAUUACGCUCUUUUCCUGAUGUUUACUGACACCGGCCAACGGGCCCUACUCAGAGGAGAGUGCUCUGUAAUCCCUGUAGAUAGUAGGCUGGACACAUUCAAUUUUUGACAAUGUUCUUUUCUGAUAAAAACGCGUUCAUUGCAUCCGCCGUGGAGCCCAGUUUCAUAAUAUGACCAUAUUUUCCAGCUGCUUGCCGUCGUUUUGAAGUAAUCGUGAAAAAAACAUGCCUUAUUUUAGUGCAUUUUUACCCUGUCAGCUCCUAUUAGUUCUAUUGAGCACCGUGGCACCAACUCGCCUUCCGAACGUUCUAUUCCCAGUUUAUUGUUCAACGUCACAAUGCCUGUUUCGCUAUUGUUGACAAUGAGACCUGCUCACGUUGUUUUAUAGUUAAAAUGUAACAAACAAAAAUAAUAUUGGAACUCUACGGCCUUCCCGUUGUUUCCUAUGGGGGAAAUAUAGGCAUGUCUGCCUAUUUUGUCAAAUAUCUCGCAAUGUGUAUAUUUAGAUUUUUUAAAGUCGGGUGUAACCGGUGUGAAAUGGCUAGCUAGCGACACAAAGGAAGUCAAAGCGGACACCUACAAAGAUGGCAUCUCAGAGAGCGAGCUGAUCAAGGGGUUGAAAAUGUAGACAUUGCCAAAUGUUCACUGUCCGAGGAACAGGCCGUGGAAGCUUUAUUGCUGGCAAAAGUGUCCAUUACCAAAGGUAAGUAAACUGUUGUGUGUUAUUUUUCUCCAUCUCUGCCUGUCUUGUUGUACCUGUCUCACAUGCAUUAAUUAAAAACCCUUAAGAUGUCAGCUGCUAAUUUUCAGAUUUUACACCACAUGAACACAGCCAUUUUCACUGGACGAUCUGUUGCUGCCAAGUCAUGAUUUCCGUGGGGGUUAGCCUUGCAAUAACCAAGUGGUGAGACACAUAGCCCUCUAUAUUUAAAUGUUUCAGGUAGGUGUCUCCAUCACAUACAGUAUCUUCUAUUGACAUGACCUUUUAUUGUUUGUCCUCAUGUGUCUGUUUUUCAGCAUAAAGUACUCUGUAGCCACCAAGUGCGGACACCAGGUGAGACCACACACACACAAUAACAGUCUCUCUUCUUCACUUUAUCCCUCUCCCCCUUCUCCCUAAAUCCUCUAGGUUAUAUCAGCUGUUUUGGUGAACCCCUCCCGCAUCUGAACUGGCUGACACAGAGGGCACAGCAUGAUCAUAGGUAUGUUUUGAUGUGAGAGAGGAAGCCAGUCCCAUCAACGCCACCUCACCCGCUCUUAAGAUAACCUUCGGGCCAACUGGGGGCCCAAGGCUUGUUAGGAGACACCGCAAUUGUGAUGAGCUGGGAGAAUAUUGGGGUAGCACUGUAAUUCAUGAAUCAAAUGCUGUCUGCCGCUGUUCUUACCUCUUUCCCUUUCUGUCUUCUACACCUCUCUCCCCACCUCGUCUUUCUUCCUCGUUUUAUAAUGCACACCACAUGUGCAUUGAAGUACAGAUUGAACUUCUAUUUAUAAUAUUACAAUUAUCAUAAUUAUAAUGCAUUUAUAUAUUUAUAACACCUGGAUAAUGAACAUCUUUCCAUAAAGCAUUCUCCACUGGUUGAAAUUAAGUAUCUCAUUGAAAUACUAUCCUGUGUCCUCAGAUUAAUGCAGAUGAAGGGAGUUAGAUAUGCAUCGUUUUUUUCCCUGUAUAUAUGAAUUACAUAUCAAUCAUGUUUCUAGUCUAUUGCAUGGUUACAAUGUGUAAUCAUUGAUGUCCCAGGAGCAGGAGUGGUAAACACUGUUGAAGUGUAUAAUUGUAAUACAUACAUGCAGACACAGCAUCAUUCAAAUAAUGGAGUUUGAUAUGACUGAAAAAUAAUGCCUCAGAGGUUCAUACCUGAACCACACCUUUAUUUGCCAAGGAAGAGUACAUGAUCAUUGAAUAUAUUCAAUGUACAGGCUACAAUGUGGGAAUCUCAUGCGUUGUAAUAACUGAAGUACACAUGUAUAUAGGACUUGGCACAAUAAAGUUAUUAUAUUCUACUCUA